CAGUCGUACCGGCGGAUAAUCAGCCUUUCGGGUGCGAUUCUGUGGGGCGUGAGGAGCUUAACCGCCUUCAUGUUUUGCAUAUUCGUGCACAUUUGGUGUACUUGUCCGUGUGGUGGGUUAACAUCAAUUUCGGUCGUCAUAAAAUGAUUGGAGGAAUGUAGCUUUGAUCUCGUAUCGAAGUGUUAUAGACUCUGGUAGAUGUGAUGAUCGGGAUUGAGGAACGCAGCGCGCCAUUUUGGCCGGGGGUCGCGUCCUCUCGACACGCGCCUAGGAUGCUGGCAUAA
Molecule: ribosomal RNA, 284 nt
Filed under: Rhizophagus intraradices
Lineage: Eukaryota; Fungi; Glomeromycota; Glomeromycetes; Glomerales; Glomeraceae
Source: RNAcentral